RNAcentral lists this RNase P RNA (385 nucleotides) under Giesbergeria sp. RNAcentral describes it as "partial RNase P RNA component class A". It matches the Rfam family "Bacterial RNase P class A", at positions 1 to 322 of the family's 367-position model. Rfam says of the family: Ribonuclease P (RNase P) is a ubiquitous endoribonuclease, found in archaea, bacteria and eukarya as well as chloroplasts and mitochondria. Its best characterised activity is the generation of mature 5'-ends of tRNAs by cleaving the 5'-leader elements of precursor-tRNAs. The record is from RNAcentral. Lineage: Bacteria; Pseudomonadati; Pseudomonadota; Betaproteobacteria; Burkholderiales; Comamonadaceae.
GAAGCGCGCCAGACCGCCGCUGGUGCAAUCUGGGAAACCAGGCACUGGAGGAACGUCCGGACUGCACAGGACAGCGUAGCAGCUAACGGCUGCCCACCGUGAGGUGAGGAUCAGAGCAACAGAGACGAGUUUGGGAGCGGAGCAACCCUUGGGUGUUCUGUGGGUCGCCGGCGUAAGCCGGUGCCGAAUGGCGCAAGCCAGUCGGUUCCCGGCGCAAGCCGGGAAAGCCCACAGUCACCUUGGGCGCUCCGCGCCCAAGGUGAAACGGGCAAUCUCUACGCGCAGCAAUACCAAGUAGGCCAACGUUGAUGUGGUUCCGCAGAGUUGGCGGGUAGGUAGCACCGAGCCGUGGUGGCGACACCCGGCCCAGAGUAAUGGCGGUCAC